UGGUGGAGUGAUUUGUCUGGUUAGUUCCGUUAACGAACGAGACCUUAACCUGCUAAAUAGUUACACGUAACUUCGGUUACGUGGGCAACUUCUUAGAGGGACUUUGUGUGUCUAACGCAAGGAAGUUUGAGGCAAUAACA
RNAcentral lists this ribosomal RNA (140 nucleotides) under uncultured eukaryote. RNAcentral describes it as "partial 18S ribosomal RNA". It matches the Rfam family "Eukaryotic small subunit ribosomal RNA", at positions 1299 to 1458 of the family's 1831-position model. The record is from RNAcentral.